Molecule: transfer RNA, 78 nt
Filed under: Miniimonas arenae
Lineage: Bacteria; Bacillati; Actinomycetota; Actinomycetes; Micrococcales; Beutenbergiaceae
Also listed under: 1 other name
Description: tRNA-Leu
Rfam family: tRNA
About the family: Transfer RNA (tRNA) molecules are approximately 80 nucleotides in length. Their secondary structure includes four short double-helical elements and three loops (D, anti-codon, and T loops).
Source: RNAcentral
GCCCCCGUGGCCCAACUGGCAGAGGCAGCCGGCUUAAACCCGGCCCAGGUGCGAGUUCGACUCUCGUCGGGGGCACCC